This 477-nucleotide ribosomal RNA is filed under the name uncultured Pelotomaculum sp. Its description in RNAcentral is "bacterial SSU rRNA". It matches the Rfam family "Bacterial small subunit ribosomal RNA", at positions 910 to 1382 of the family's 1533-position model. Lineage: Bacteria; Bacillati; Bacillota; Clostridia; Eubacteriales; Desulfotomaculaceae. The record is from RNAcentral.
AAGUUGACGGGGCCCGCACAAGCGGUGGAGCAUGUGGUUUAAUUCGACGCAACGCGAAGAACCUUACCAGGGCUUGACAUCCCCUGACCGCGUAUGAAAGUACGUUUUCACCCUCGGGUGACAGGGAGACAGGUGGUGCAUGGUUGUCGUCAGCUCGUGUCGUGAGAUGUUGGGUUAAGUCCCGCAACGAGCGCAACCCCUACGUUUAGUUGCUAACGCGUGAAGGCGAGCACUCUAGACGAACUGCCGUUGACAAAACGGAGGAAGGUGGGGAUGACGUCAAAUCAUCAUGCCCCUUAUGUUCUGGGCUACACACGUGCUACAAUGGCCGGCACAGACGGACGCAAAGCCGCGAGGGGGAGCCAAUCCCAAAAAGCCGCUCUCAGUUCGGAUUGCAGGCUGCAACUCGCCUGCAUGAAGCCGGAAUCGCUAGUAAUCGCGGAUCAGCACGCCGCGGUGAAUACGUUCCCGGGCCUU